Molecule: ribosomal RNA, 481 nt
Filed under: uncultured bacterium
Lineage: Bacteria
Description: partial 16S ribosomal RNA
Rfam family: Bacterial small subunit ribosomal RNA
Source: RNAcentral
GACGAACGCUGGCGGCGUGCCUAACACAUGCAAGUUGAACGGAGAUAUGAUUUCGGUUAUAUCUUAGUGGCGAACGGGUGAGUAACGCGUGAGCAACCUGACUCUUAGAGGGGGAUAACACCCGGAAACGAGUGCUAAUACCGCAUAAGACCACGACAUGGCAUCAUGACGAGGUCAAAGGAGCAAUCCGCUGAGAGAGGGGCUCGCGUCCCAUUAGAUAGAUGGCGGGGUAACGGCCCACCAUGUCAGCGAUGGGUAGCCGAGCUGAGAGGCUGAUCGGCCACACUAGAACUGAGACACGGUCCAGACUCCUACGGGAGGCAGCAGUGGGGAAUAUUGGGCAAUGGGCGCAAGCCUGACCCAGCAACGCCGCGUGAGGGAAGAAGGCUUUCGGGUUGUAAACCUCUGUCCUUGGUGACGAAACAAAUGACGGUAGCCAAGGAGGAAGCCCCGGCUAACUACGUGCCAGCAGCCGCCGUAA